AACCACUGGGCAACUGGUGGGGAAAGUGGCGAAAGGGGCAGUAAUGUAUGGGUAACCUACCCUGGGGACCGGCAUAGCUAUCCUAACGGAUAGGUAAUACCGGGCGAUGUAGCGAGGUCGCAUGUUCUUGCUACCAGAUGAAUUUCGCCCUGGGAGGGGCUCAUAUCGUAUUAGCUUGUUGGUGAGGUAACGGCUCACCAAGGCUAAGAUGCGUAGCGGGUGUGAGAGCACGACCCGCGCCACUGGCACUGAGACACUGGCCAGACUCCUACGGGAGGCUGCAGUCGAGGAUCUUCGGCAAUGGGCGCAAGCCUGACCGAGCGACGCCGCGUGUGCGAUGAAGGCCUUCGGGUUGUAAAGCACUGUCGAGGGGGAGGAAGCUCCGCAAGGGGUUGACCUAUCCCUGGAGGAAGCACGGGCUAAGUUCGUGCCAGCAGCCGCGGUAAGACGAACCGUGCGAACGUUGUUCGGAAUCACUGGGCUUAAAGGGCGCGUAGGCGGCUGAUCAAGUCUGGGGUGAAAUCUUUCGGCUUAACCGGAAAAGUGCCUGAGAUACUGAUCAGCUGGAGGGAGAUAGGGGGGAGCUGGAACUUCCAGUGGAGCGGUGAAAUGCGUUGAUAUUGGAAGGAACUCCGGUGGCGAAAGCGAGCUCCUGGAUCUCUUCUGACGCUGAGGCGCGAAGCUAGGGGAGCAAACGGGAUUAGAUACCCCGGUAGUCCUAGCCCUAAACGAUGGGUACUAGGUUGUGGACUUGACAUGGGUUCCAG
Molecule: ribosomal RNA, 767 nt
Filed under: uncultured Planctomycetota bacterium
Lineage: Bacteria; Pseudomonadati; Planctomycetota
Description: bacterial SSU rRNA
Rfam family: Bacterial small subunit ribosomal RNA
Source: RNAcentral